Molecule: ribosomal RNA, 253 nt
Filed under: uncultured bacterium
Lineage: Bacteria
Description: partial 16S ribosomal RNA
Rfam family: Bacterial small subunit ribosomal RNA
Source: RNAcentral
UACGUAGGGGGCUAGCGUUGUCCGGAAUCAUUGGGCGUAAAGCGCGUGUAGGCGGCAUUGCAAGUCGGGUGUGAAAGCCCCGGGCUCAACCCGGGAAGUGCACUCGAAACUGGGAGGCUAGAGUAUCGGAGAGGUUGGUGGAAUUCUCGGUGUAGAGGUGAAAUUCGUAGAUAUCGAGAGGAACACCGGUGGCGAAGGCGGCCAACUGGACGAAUACUGACGCUGAGACUCGAAAGCGUGGGGAGCAAACAGG